Molecule: ribosomal RNA, 685 nt
Filed under: uncultured Gammaproteobacteria bacterium
Lineage: Bacteria; Pseudomonadati; Pseudomonadota; Gammaproteobacteria
Description: bacterial SSU rRNA
Rfam family: Bacterial small subunit ribosomal RNA
Source: RNAcentral
AGCACUUCGGUGUGAGUAGAGUGGCGGACGGGUGAGUAACGCGUGGGAAUCUACCCAGUAGCGGGGGACAACUACCGGAAACGGUAGCUAAUACCGCAUACGCCCUAUGGGGGAAAGGCUUCGGCCGCUAUUGGAUGAGCCCGCGUCAGAUUAGCUAGUUGGUAGGGUAAAGGCCUACCAAGGCAACGAUCUGUAGCUGGUCUGAGAGGACGAACAGCCACACUGGGACUGAGGCACGGCCCAGACUCCUACGGGAGGCAGCAGUGGGGAAUAUUGGACAAUGGGCGAAAGCCUGAUCCAGCAAUGCCGCGUGUGUGAAGAAGGCCUGCGGGUUGUAAAGCACUUUCAGUUGGGAAGAUGAUGACGUUACCAAUAGAAGAAGCACCGGCUAAAUCCGUGCCAGCAGCCGCGGUAAUACGGAUGGUGCGAGCGUUAAUCGGAAUUACUGGGCGUAAAGCGCGCGUAGGCGGCUAAGUCAGUCAGAAGUGAAAGCCCCGGGCUCAACCUGGGAAUUGCUUUUGAUACUGCUUAGCUAGAGUUUGGUAGAGGAUAGUGGAAUUCCAGGUGUAGCGGUGAAAUGCGUAGAUAUCUGGAGGAACAUCAGUGGCGAAGGCGACUGUCUGGACCAAAACUGACGCUGAGGUGCGAAAGCGUGGGUAGCAAACAGGAUUAGAUACCCUGGUAG